Non-coding RNA from Paramuricea clavata, 79 nucleotides. The record is from the annotation of a GenBank genome assembly. NCBI's taxonomy places the organism in Eukaryota, Metazoa, Cnidaria, Anthozoa, Malacalcyonacea, Plexauridae.
GGGCAAGAGGAAUACUUGGAAUACUAGCCCCAUUGGAUUAGUAUUCCAAAGGUCGUAGGUUCGAUUCCUACCGUGGCCG